Molecule: ribosomal RNA, 300 nt
Filed under: Thraustochytriidae sp.
Lineage: Eukaryota; Bigyra; Thraustochytrida; Thraustochytriidae
Description: SSU rRNA
Rfam family: Eukaryotic small subunit ribosomal RNA
Source: RNAcentral
GCUUUGUCUGGUUAAUUCCGUUAACGAACGAGACCGCAGCCUACUAAAUAGUACGUGUUAUGGUAACAUAGUAUGAGACUUCUUAGAGGGACAUUUCGGGUUUACCAGCGGGAAGUUUGAGGCAAUAACAGGUCUGUGAUGCCCUUAGAUGUUCUGGGCCGCACGCGCGCUACACUGACGAAUUCAACGAGCUUUUAUUUCUUUGAAACUAAAUUCCUUUAUCGGAAGAUAUGGGUAAUCUUUUAAUGUGCGUCGUGAUGGGGCUAGAUUUUUGCAAUUAUUAAUCUCCAACGAGGAACC